ACAGGACCUGAUCUGCAGCUGGCUGGAGGAAGGAGCAAGUGGUUCCUGCAGUCUGCUGCUUCAGAAUAAAACGAAUCAUUGAAAACCUUGGGAGUCCAAGACCAUAAUCUGGGGCUGUGAAGGUUACACCACCUGUGGUCAGCUUAGUUGCACCAAGAUAAGGGAGCAGUGACAGGCAGCAGUAUAACCAUCAGGUUCCUGGUCUGCUAAGGUAAUAAACUGGGGGGUGUCUAACUC
This 237-nucleotide long non-coding RNA is filed under the name Gallus gallus (chicken). RNAcentral's name for it is "long non-coding RNA NONGGAT013614". Lineage: Eukaryota; Metazoa; Chordata; Aves; Galliformes; Phasianidae. The record is from RNAcentral.